This 252-nucleotide ribosomal RNA is filed under the name uncultured microorganism. Its description in RNAcentral is "partial 16S ribosomal RNA". It matches the Rfam family "Bacterial small subunit ribosomal RNA", at positions 524 to 776 of the family's 1533-position model. The record is from RNAcentral.
UACGUAGGUCCCGAGCGUUGUCCGGAUUUAUUGGGCGUAAAGCGAGCGCAGGUGGUUUAAUAAGUCUGGUGUAAAAGGCAGUGGCUCAACCAUUGUAUGCAUUGGAAACUGGUAGACUUGAGUGCAGAAGGGGAGAGUGGAAUUCCAUGUGUAGCGGUGAAAUGCGUAGAUAUAUGGAGGAACACCGGUGGCGAAAGCGGCUCUCUGGACUGUCACUGACACUGAGGCUCGAAAGCGUGGGUAGCAAACAGG